Molecule: ribosomal RNA, 392 nt
Filed under: uncultured bacterium
Lineage: Bacteria
Description: partial 16S ribosomal RNA
Rfam family: Bacterial small subunit ribosomal RNA
Source: RNAcentral
AUACGAGGGGUGCAAGCGUUGUUCGGAAUUACUGGGCGUAAAGGGAGCGUAGGCGGAGAUUCAAGCGGAUUGUACAAUCCCGGGGCCCAACCCCGGCUCUGCAGUCCGAACUGGAUCUCUUGGAUAGUUCAGGGGCAGGCGGAAUUCCUGGUGUAGCGGUGGAAUGCGUAGAGAUCAGGAAGAACACCGAUGGCGAAGGCAGCCUGCUGGGGACUUAUCGACGCUGAGGCUCGAAAGUGCGGGUAGCAAACAGGAUUAGAUACCCUGGUAGUCCGCACCGUAAACGAUGCAUACUGGGUGUCCGGGGGUUCCCCCGGGUACCGUAGCCAACGCGUUAAGUAUGCCGCCUGGGGAGUACGUACGCAAGUAUGAAACUCAAAGGAAUUGACGGG